CCCCCCCCUUUACUCUGGGUUGUGAACCCCCCUUUUUAAAAUGGCUGGAUCCGCCCCUGAACCACUAGACUAUACCGUAUUAAUGCGACCCAACCACUACGACUAUUCUACGGUUAUGCUUAGCAGUUCCGAAGACCGUAUCCUUUACAAAAGUCGAUUCUAGUACGAUCAAGCCCGGUGUCCUCAUCACGCUAUUCUUAAGACCUGACUACGAUCAUAUUACUACGACGAUUUCCAGCUCUAUAGUCGUUCUCAUUGUCAUUUUCACAUAAAGGUAUAAAAGCUCUCUAGGUUUUGUAUGUAUGUAUUUUGGACCUCAUGUCUCUUUUUUCCAACGGGCCCAACCAUGAAUGACACAUUUCAUUGUGUCAUUUCCACUAUCUUUCAUUUAAGAAUUGAAUGCUCUUUUUUGUAAAUUUAUUGGGGUGUAAAAGCGUUGACCGAAGUACAUUUUGUAUGAAGCGCGGAAGCGCUUCAUACUUAAAAUGUGCACACGGUCAACGCUUUUACAACCCUAUAAAGUUACAAAAAAAGCAUUCAAUACUUAUAAUUACAUUUUUACCUAUAGGAUCAUGAAAACACGCCUUUUAUCAAGUUUUUAUUUCAUUUACCUGUGCACUUUAUUGUGGGACCUCGUGUCAUCAUGAAUGAGAAGUUUUAAUGAGUGAUACAACAGCUUAAGGAAUAACACAUGAUGUGCCGUUAGCCAAUCAGAAUAACGUAUAGUAAUGAAACAUACAUCUAAUGUAAUUAUUAAAACAUCGUUAUUUGAUCUACAUUGACCAGCAAUAUGUUGUGAUUCAGGUUGGAUUGGUCGGUCCAACAUUUUUACUGGAUCAGGAUAACGCCCGAGGACCUCUGUCUCUACCACUAUAUAUAUUACUACUACUUCUACUAGUAUGUUUUUGUUCCAAUGAAACAGAAAAACGAUAAAAUUAUUGAAAUCAAUACAAAACGAAAAAAAUACCGGAUUUUGGUUGAAAAAAGGGGGGCCUGUCCACAAGAACUUAUGCGCAGAAUAAAGGUGGUGAGAAGAGAACGUGGUAUAAUCGUAGCAGGAUCGUUGUAUAGAAGCGUAAUGAGGACGUUGUAGCAGAAAAAAAACAUGAAAAUAACGAAUUUUCCGUGACAUUUUAUGCCACUUAUACCACGACCUCAACACGAUUUGAAUUUAUUUUAGAUCGCCGUGAGCGUUGUGCGAUCGUGGUCUAGUGUGCCGAGGGUAUUCUCAAUAUCCGCCCGACAUUUAUUAAAAAAAGGGAACUAACAGCUAGGAAAUUUAAGAGUAACUCAAAACGAUUUUAAGGUGGUAUGGGUGUCUUCCUCCAUCUUGGAUCGUAAAAAAACAGAGAACCAAAGGUCCAGACUUUCUAUUAAGUCAGCAAAAUUUGAUGCAGGAAUGCAGAUAUUUAAUGUGAAUUUUCAUUUUAUGUCCGUUAUGUAAUGAACAAAUAAAACGGACUUGUAGUAUGCCGAGAAAUGGUAGGGGUUGAAAAGAAUUAGAAAACAAAUAUCAGAAUAAAAAGCCAAUAACUUUGCCUGAUCAUGAUUUAGAAGAUCAUAUAAAAAAGAAGAUGUGGUAUGAUUGCUAAUGAGAUAACUCUCCACAUGAGACCAACAUGACACAGAAAUUAACAACUAUAGGUAACCAUACGGCCUUCAUUAAUGAUCAAAGCCCAUACCGCAUACAUGUAGUCAGCUAUAAAAAGCCGUAAAUAUGCAUGAUACUAAAGAAAACCAACAUACCAAUAAUUUUUUUUUCCUGACGCGAUUUUCAAUUGGUGUGUAUCCGUUUUAUAAUCAAUUAUCGUUCUGUUAUCCUUCUGUUCAUGUCCGUCUCGCAUCCGUUUUAUGCUUUAUAUGUCCGGUAAAGAUCGUUAGUGAACCUGUCUACCGGACCUCCAACGGAUGUUUAACGGACGAGUAACAGAUACAAAACGAACACAGAACGGACGAGUAUUGUAAACAAAAAACAGACGCCUACUGGACACUUCAUCCGUUGAACGUCCGUUCAAAGGUUUUUAACAUGCUAAAAUUUUUCCAACGGAC
RNAcentral lists this long non-coding RNA (2049 nucleotides) under Mytilus galloprovincialis (Mediterranean mussel). Lineage: Eukaryota; Metazoa; Mollusca; Bivalvia; Mytilida; Mytilidae. The record is from RNAcentral.